RNAcentral lists this non-coding RNA (62 nucleotides) under Palpitomonas bilix. The record is from RNAcentral.
AGCAGAUGCAUUUCUGCAGUCACUCUUCAACUCCGAGCCUUUCCGCGAUGCGUGUGGAGGUG